UGCUCAGGACGAACGUUGGCGGCGCGCAUAAUGCAUGCAAGUCGAACGAAGUCCCACCCUUCGGGGUGAUGACUUAGUGGCAGACKGCUGASUAACACGUGAGUGAUCUGCCUUUGGGUGAGGGACAACAGAGGGAAACUUCUGCUAAUACCUCAUACGAUCCAAGAUCUAGGGUCUUGGAUGAAAGGUGCCGGGUAACUGGUUGCCGCCCUUAGAUGAGCUCGCGGCCUAUCAGGUUGUUGGUGGGGUAAUGGCCUACCAAGCCUAAGACGGGUAGCUGGUGUGAGAGCACGACCAGUCAGAGGGGGACUGAGACACGGCCCCCACUCCUACGGGAGGCAGCAGCAGGGAAUCUUCCACAAUGGGCGAAAGCCUGAUGGAGCGACGCCGCGUGAGGGAUGAAGGCUCUAGGGUCGUAAACCUCUUUUCUUAGGGAAGAGUAAGGACGGUACCUAAGGAAUAAGUGACGGCUAACUACGUGCCAGCAGCCGCGGUAAUACGUAGGUCACAAACGUUGUCCGGAAUUAUUGGGCGUAAAGGGUCCGUAGGCGGUUCUGUAAGUCUCCUGUGAAAUCUUCAGGCUCAACUUGAAGAGGUCGGGGGAUACUGCUGAACUUGAGACUGACAGAGGCAAGUGGAAUUCCCGGUGUAGUGGUGAAAUGCGUAGAUAUCGGGAGGAACACCAAUGGCGAAAGCGGCUUGCUGGGUCAGUUCUGACGCUGAGGGACGAAAGCGUGGGUAGCAAACCGGAUUAGAUACCCGGGUAGUCCACGCCGUAAACGAUGAAUGCUAGGUUUUCGGGGUAUCGACCCCCUGGGAGCCGUAGUUAACGCGAUAAGCAUUCCGCCUGGGGACUACGGUCGCAAGACUAAAACUCAAAUGAAUUUGACCGG
This 893-nucleotide ribosomal RNA is filed under the name uncultured Chloroflexota bacterium. Its description in RNAcentral is "SSU rRNA". It matches the Rfam family "Bacterial small subunit ribosomal RNA", at positions 21 to 917 of the family's 1533-position model. Lineage: Bacteria; Bacillati; Chloroflexota. The record is from RNAcentral.